RNAcentral lists this ribosomal RNA (447 nucleotides) under uncultured bacterium. Its description in RNAcentral is "bacterial SSU rRNA". It matches the Rfam family "Bacterial small subunit ribosomal RNA", at positions 329 to 793 of the family's 1533-position model. The record is from RNAcentral.
UGCCAGACUCCUACGGGAGGCAGCAGUGGGGAAUAUUGCACAAUGGGGGAAACCCUGAUGCAGCGACGCCGCGUGAGCGAUGAAGUAUUUCGGUAUGUAAAGCUCUAUCAGCAGGGAAGAAAAUGACGGUACCUGACUAAGAAGCCCCGGCUAACUACGUGCCAGCAGCCGCGGUAAUACGUAGGGGGCAAGCGUUAUCCGGAUUUACUGGGUGUAAAGGGAGCGUAGACGGUCCUGCAAGCCAGAUGUGAAAGCCCGGGGCUCAACCCCGGGACUGCAUUUGGAACUGUAAGGCUAGAGUGUCGGAGAGGCAGGCGGAAUUCCUAGUGUAGCGGUGAAAUGCGUAGAUAUUAGGAGGAACACCAGUGGCGAAGGCGGCUUGCUGGACGAUGACUGACGUUGAGGCUCGAAAGCGUGGGGAGCAAACAGGAUUAGAUACCCCGGUAC